This 5277-nucleotide long non-coding RNA is filed under the name Zea mays. RNAcentral describes it as "long non-coding RNA (ZMAY_LNC002740)". Lineage: Eukaryota; Viridiplantae; Streptophyta; Magnoliopsida; Poales; Poaceae. The record is from RNAcentral.
AUUGGCUCCCAUCUGAGCUUCCCAUUGGGAUUCCUCCUACACACCACAUCCUUGUGGUCUUGACUGCAGAUUGAACACCUGCCAUUCCACUGGCACUCUGCACGGAGAUGCGCAUCACCACAAUGGAAACACACCAGCCCCAGCCCGGGCUUAGGAACAGCCCGAAACCUCUGAGUACUUCCUCUCGAAGUACCCGAGUCAGAGGAUUUGCCACGAUAGGGAUGGUGGCGCUCAUGCUGAGACUUGCCCCUCUUGUGGGUUGGACCUCCAGUGUUGCCCCUCCUCGCGUCCUGGCCACGAGGCUGAUCAACACCCGAAGACUUCUGCGACUCCAUGGUAUACUGGUGUUGCAUCUCCACACCCAGUGCUGCUCCACUGUAGUACGGAAGUCCACCAACGGAAAGGCUCCCAGGGCAUGCCUGAUGGAAGGUUUCAGGCCCUGACGGAACUGGCUCGCCUUCUCCAUCUCAUUAUAAGCCACAUGAGGGACAAAGCUGUAAAGCCCAAAUUUGUAUAAAAAUGAUGUAAAUAAAUAAAUUAAAUUAUGAUAGUAUUGUGAGAAUUUUUUUUGAAAACCUUUGGAUAAUAUUGGGUUUCCGUUGUUCUUGAAUAAAUGGGAUUAAACUAGCCAAAUAAUGAAACAAAUAAAAAUAUAAAUGUGCACCUCAUAAUGGAACUCUUGUAUUUGUAUUCAAUGUUGUGAAGCAAGUUGAGUUUAAAAAAAUUAUAAUUUGAAAAUAAAAGGGGAAUAGAAAAGAAAAGGAUGGAAGAGAUAAAUGGAGAUAAAAGAAAAAUAGAAAACUAAUAUUAGUGAAACUAGUAGAAUUUAUAGUCUCAUUAGGUUUGUGUUUGAUAUUUGGUAAUUUGAAAUUCAAACAAGAAACUUAACUUUGUUUAAAUCCUUGAAUUUGGAAAAUAGAAGAGAAAAGAAUAGAAAAGAAAAAGAAAAGAAAAGAAAAGAAAAGAAAAAGAGAACUUGAUGGGCUCGGAAAUACGUUUUGGCCCAUUAAACCUUUCCCCCGCCGUGGCCCAAACUGGUGAAUCCGUGCGCGCCUAACCUCUCUGCAGACGGGACCCACAGGUCAGCCCCCUCCCCCCAAAUUGCGCGCCUGCCACCACCGUGUGGGGCCCUUUGGUCAGACUUCGGGGGCGCGCUCUGGUCAUUCUCCGGGUCGCUGCAAUGUGGGCCCGUGUUUCUAGCUCAUUCCCUGGCCGCCAUCGUCUUCAAUCUGCGUAUGGCGGAACUCAUUCCGAGCAAGUCGGACCCGGCCGUUGGGGGUUUCUGGGAUCAUCGCGACCUUUUCGCCCACGCCUCCAACCUAUAAAAGCUCGGCCUCGCGACCUCCUUAGGCCAUAGACUCGAACCGAGCUCGUGCACCUUGUCCAGAAACAUAAAAUGGGGGAAACAUCACCGUGGGUGAGGGAAAAUCGGGCCACCAUCGUGGGACAGCCACCUUGGCGUCGUCUGGCAUCCAAAAAUCGGUCUGGGGGUGUGCGCAUCAGCUCAGGGGUGUUCUCCGGUGAGACAUUUUGUGCCGUGGGGUAUGGUUCAACAACGAUUUCUCACCGGACAUGGGAUUCCACCGCAGAACCACUCCUUACCGUGGCCGGUGCGUCUAGGGGCACGGACUGUGUCAUGGGUCCCCUGGCCUCGAUCGCCUUGUCACUCUCGUCGUGUUGCACCAUCAACGUCGAGGUUUGGGCUGCUGUGUGGGGAUCCUGUAGGUUGCGGCCAUGGCACCACCACGAUGGCGAUGGCGUCACCGCCUGGUCUCGGCGUGGGGAGGAAGACACACGAUCGCCGUUGAUCUUCUGAUGAGUGGGUUAGAUUAAAACAAGGUAACGCUUCGCCCGGGCUCGUCCACCGCCGUAGAUCUAGGAUCGUAGGGCCGCUGGCAUGAGUAAUAUAUUAACCGUAGAUCUUGGAUCGGAUGAUUGGCGUCGCGUACCGGUUCGAGAUGUGGUCUGAUCUGAUCUGGGUCACACAUCUUCGAUUCAACGGCCAGCGUGUGCCGAUACCCCUUCAGCCAUGCGCAAAUUAUUAAAUAGACCCUCUGGUUUCUAUUAUUCAACCCGCCAUCCACGCCAGUUCAAAAGUAAUUACAUAUAGGUCCUGUAUUUCGCAGUUUAGACCCUGACUUCUCUAGAUAUUGUGUCUGCAAUACAUGGGCUAUUAGGAAAUAGAGAAAUAACUUUUAAAAAUGAUUCUUAGUGCAAAAAUAAUUCCAUAAACUUGUUUAAUCCAUAUUUAACUCAUUUUAACUCCUUUUUGAUCCAUUCCAGUUGCUAUAAAUUCGUAUUAAUAUUGUUUAUCUCCUGAUAAAUUUAUUUUGCUAUGAAACUUGAGGAUAAAAUUAUGUGCUUAAUUUCUUUUGUACACCACUACUAAAUCUUUGGAAAUUCGUAACUCAAUAACCGUAACUCCGUUUUGAUCCAUUCUAGUUGCAUUAGUCUCACAAUAAUAUUUAUUAUCAUCUAUUAACUUUGUUUUGUCAUGAAAUAUAGGUUAAAAUGUUGCACUUAGUCUAUUCUAUAUUUAACCACAUGGAUCUUCGGAAAACCAUAACCCCUUAACCAUAACUCCGAAUUUAGUUGUUUCGAACCCACGAUCUCGUAGUGACGCAUAGAUUACUAUUAUGCAAUGUGUGCUUAUGUUUGAUGUGAUGUUAAUUUUGCCUAUACCAUGUUUCGUUUGUAUUGCUACGACUAGCAGUGAGGACAUGUGUCACCUAAAGAUCAUCCUGGUAUCAGGAAUCUCGAGUCCCAGGCAAUUUGUGCCCUUGAUCACUUCUUUUUACCUACUCAUGUUCAGAUUAAUCAUAAUGAUCUGCAUGGGUUAAUUUUGACGGGACCUAAUAGGUUACCCUAGUUUGACUAUCUUUAUGCCUUGUUUACCACUGAACUUUUUGGGUAGUACUUGCUAGUGCUAUAUGUGGAUUUGGGCAUUGAGAUACACAGUAUUCAUGAUUAUACUUUGUUAUCAAUUGUUAUUUACUGUUCAUGAUAAGAUCAUUAUGUUAAUUGGAACAUGGAGCGAUCACCCGGGAAAACAGUGCUACCACAAGGGUUUAAUGGGACGCCCUUGGCUGAUUAAUUAGGAAAGCUAGUGGAAGACUACCUCACCUAAAAGGGGCAAGGGCAGUAGGGGAGUGGUCAGUGUGGGGAGGUCCUUGGUUGAAUUUGCUGCGAUGGCGGUCAGGCGAGGGAUCCCUGCAUUGGAGCUUCCUAUAAACUGUAGCGGGUUUUCUGAAGCUAGUAGAACUUUGUAAAGGCCUUGUAGUGUUACCCUGCCUCGCUUCCUUGGUAGAGGUGUAUGGGGCCCGUACAACCCCAUGGCAAAGGGGUAACAUGACUUGUGGGUAAAGAUGUGCAACCUCUACAGAGUGUAAAACUGGUAUACUAGUCGUGCUCACGGUCAUGAGCAGCUCGGAGCCUCACAUGAUUAAAUUAUGGAACUAAAUUUAAUUUGUCAUAUGCAUUGCAUCACAGGUGAUGUUGUUACUUUUGUUCUACUACUUAAUUGGGUUGGUAUUUACUUAUACUUAGUAAUUGCUAAUAAAAUUUUGACCAACUUUAAAAGCAAUGUUCAGCUCUAACCAUCCUCUUUGGUAAGCCUUACACUUCACGUGAGCUCCCACCUUUGGCAAGUUCAUGCACAUUAUUCCCCACAACUUGUUGAGCGAUGAACGUAUGUGAGCUCACUCUUGCUGUCUCACACCUCCCCAUAGGUCAAGAACAGGUACCGCAGGAUGAGGCGCAUGGAGGAUGCUGCGAUGUGUUCGUGAGAGGUCUAGGUCGUCGUCUCCCAGUCAACUUUGGGUUGCUGGACCGUUGUCUCCUUAUAAUGUAGUUAUUUAUUUAUUUUGUAUAGAACUCCUAUUAUAUAGUAAAGUUGUGACAUUCGAUCCUGUGCCAUGAUUCAUCAUAUGUGUGAGACUUGGUCCCAGCACACCUGGUGAUUAUGUUCGCGCCCGGGUCUUGGUGCCCCUAAAACCCGGGUGUGACAGAAGUGGUAUCAGAGAAAUGUUGACUGUAGGACGAAACCUAGAAAGAACUAGACAACCAAUACUUACUUACCUUUUACUACUCUGAUUCUUUCUAAACUUUUCUUAAUCCUUUCUCAACUAUUUCCGCUUUACUCUAAUUACUCUUAUCUUUUCACUUCUAAAGACAAAAGUGGAUUUCACACUUUGAAAUCCUGUGCCUAAAGUGACCUUUAAGAAUAGGAUACCUACUCUUAGGAACAAAAACAAAAUUAUUUUUCUUUUAUAUAGAUAUCUAUGAACUUGAAUGCUUGUUCUUAUGAUACUUGUCUGAUUUGGAUCUUUGAUUGAGUGUGAUGAGUUGUGGAGUAAUGUCCACAAUUACAUCUGCAUAUAUAUCUAGGCAUAAAGGAUAGUAUUUAUAAAAUAACUAGACAAUCUAAAAUAUCCCCUUUAAAAUGUAUCUAGUAUUCCAUAUCUAUCUUAACAUUAUUCCCCCAACUCCGAUAAAAUACACUAACCUCAAAUCAAUAAGACCAAGACCAGAGAAGAAAAGAUCAACCCCAUCAAGGAAGGGGGGAAGUCAAACUCAAUCUUCAGAUGCAUUACCACUCGAGACAAAGUUCUUUCUCACCAUAAACUUUCUUACCCCUGGCUAUUCUUACCCUAACCUACCUAUCUUUUAACGUACAUAAAAUGACUAUAUAUAUAUAUAUAUAUAGAUACCCAUGCUCUCCUAAUCACCCACUAAUGAAAAAAAGAGAGGCUCUUGAUUUUCGAACUAAUUAGAAACUAAAAGCUAAAAUUGCAAACCACUCUUCCUAUAUCCUCCUUACUAAUCUCGAGGACGAGAUUUCUGUUAAGGGGGGUAGGAUUUGUAAAGCCCAAAUUUGUAUAAAAAAUGGUGUAAAUAAAUAAAUUAAAUUAUGAUAGUAUUGUGAGAAUUUUUUUUGAAAACCUUUGGAUAAUAUUGGGUUUCCGUUGUUCUUGAAUAUAUGGGAUUAAACUAGCCAAAUAAUGAAACAAAUAAAAAUAUAAAUGUGCACCUCAUAAUGGAACUCUUGUAUUUGUAUUCAAUGUUGUGAAGCAAGUUGAGUUUAAAAAAAUUAUAAUUUGAAAAUAAAAGGGGAAUAGAAAAGAAAAGGAUGGAAGAGAUAAAUGGAGAUAAAAGAAAAAUAGAAAACUAAUAUUAGUGAAAAUAGUAGAAUUUAUAGUCUCAUUAGGUUUGUGUUUGAUAUUUGGUAAUUUGAAAUUCAAACAAGAAACUUAACUUUGUUUAAAUCCUUGAAUUUGG